UUUGCGCGCGCACGUCGAACUUCUCGGUUGGGUGUCGACUUCAAACUCGUCACAGUGCCUUACUGUCUGUUAGUGCAUUAACACUGCUGAACUAUCUAAGCUAGGCACAGUGAUUCGACAUGGCUAUUUUGGAUCCUUAAAGUUGGACGUUAACCUUUAAUAGUAUAUUGUUUUGACGCGGAUCUCAAAAUCCGACUCUUCAGAUAAUAUUGUGCGUCCGUUUGAUCUGGAAUAACGUAGAAGAAAGCUCUUUAUGCCAUGGAUUUAGUAAUAAGCUUGUGUCUACUUCAACGUAUUUCUGUAAUAUUGUGGAUUGAUAUGAAUACGUGAUGAUGUGAACUACACUUGAUAUAGCGUUACUAGGAAUCAGUCAUUGUUUGUUUCUUAUAGCUAUCCACACAGCCUCGCCUUGCAAAAGAAUGAACAUAUUAAGAACAUCGAGAGAGGUUAUUAUGAUUAGCCUACUGAUUAUAUCCAGAUGAAACGAUUGAUUGGAAAGCAUAGUAACAAUGUCUGAAUGAAGAACAUUCAGUAGAUUAAUGCUCGAUAGUAGGCCAUACAAUGCCAGUCUAGGCAUCCUGUGUCGUACAAUCAGAGUAGAAUAUGGAGAGUAAGCAAUGUAGAGGAUUCUGCAUUCGUUGUUUAAUCUAAACUAUCAGGAAAGAAAGUACAUUCUAGUCUCUAAAUUGGGACAUUAUAUCUUUACCAUUGCCAAAAUUAGUCAGGAUGGCUUCGGAUACGGAAGCACUCGCCCGGAGCAUUCAACUACCUGAAGAAUAUAACCCACACUCUGAGACAGAUGACGCAAGUACAGUCGAAGGCUCUCUAUCCGACUUUAGUCGAACGGCAACCUGCUAUCCGAUUUUCUUCGCUAGCGGGCGAACCGAGGCUACCGCGGAUAAUACGAAUUGUGAUCCGCAAACCGCUCCACGUUCUUGUUUCAAACGACAGCGUCAAGGAUACUUUUUAAUAUCAUUCAUCAGUUUGAUUGUACUAGCCGGAUUGGCAAUGAUUUUCGUCGGGUAUUACUUGCAUAAUCGCGGAUAUUUGUUAAUUGUUGGAAUAAUCUAUCCGUGGGUUGUUGGUGUGCCCACCUGUUAUGUGUACUGUCAAUACCGGGGGUCCCGUCCUAGAGGUAGAGGUAGACGGAGAGGGUCAACAAUUGCUUUAUCAACUGCUAUGAGCAUAGAAGUACCGCCCCCGGAGUACGAAUGUCGGCAUCACUUUACUACUGUGGAUUAUACCGGUUACGAUCCUCACACCGGUUUAUGGGCUAAUGGUUCUCAAAGUAAUGGGACAACAUCUGGACCAUCAUCGGGUUCAAACCUUGCACCAGAGCAUGGCAGGCCAUUGAGAUUGAAUACUGGACUAUCUAUGACUAUAUCUUGCGACGGACCUCCUCCAGAUUAUGAUGAUAUAACACAGGCGCAGUCUGCAUGAUGACCUCAUUAUUACGAGUCUUUAAAUCACAUAUCGCUUUGAUAGCGUUUCAACAUGGUCACCAUCGAUGGUUUUCUGCCAAAAUUUGUUAUUUUGAAAACGAAUAUGCACUAGCCAGUUGGUAAGGCAAUAGAAGUAUUCAUUCGCAGAUCGUUUAUUGACUAUUCUACAUCUGCGAUUGCAACAGGGUGACUAGCCUUUCAUUCGAUAGAACAUAGGAUAUCUUAUAUGUUACCGUGUUUGAAAGAUGACAUCGAUGAUUAAUAUGGCUGUAGGACAAGCAAUGACGUAGGCAUGUUACCAUGGCAACAUUAGUUACCUCAGGAUGAGGCGAGUACUGCGAAAAAUAGAAAUGAAGAAUUUCAAAAAUUAUCGUUGGAUGAAUAACGAUUUUAGAAAUGCUGAAGUUUUAUGAGAGAAAAUUGUUUGAUUGUAAAGUCUUACAAUCACACUACAUAUCGCACUAUCGUUAUUAACCGUACUUUUAGUCAGAGACCCUAAAAGCCACGAUACAUUGAUUCCAAAUCUCUUCUAACUCUGCAUCAAAUCAUCAAGUGAUUCUGAACAUCUAUUUUUUCAUAUCUUUCGGAACGAUAGUUAUGUUGAGAGCUAUUUUUGAAAUGUUAUAUGCCAUGAUGAUAUUGAUGAUAAUGGUGGUAUUUUUCCUGACAGCUAUAAAA
This is an RNA transcript of Strongylocentrotus purpuratus (purple sea urchin), 2120 nucleotides long. RefSeq lists it as uncharacterized. NCBI's taxonomy places the organism in Eukaryota, Metazoa, Echinodermata, Echinoidea, Camarodonta, Strongylocentrotidae. The transcript is spliced from 2 exons. The record is from RefSeq and is a predicted model, not a curated record.